Molecule: ribosomal RNA, 478 nt
Filed under: uncultured Bacteroidota bacterium
Lineage: Bacteria; Pseudomonadati; Bacteroidota
Description: bacterial SSU rRNA
Rfam family: Bacterial small subunit ribosomal RNA
Source: RNAcentral
GAUGAACGCUAGCGGCAGGCUUAAUACAUGCAAGUCGAACGGUAAGGUCUCUUCGGAGAUACACGAGUGGCGCACGGGUGCGUAACGCGUACACAAUCUACCUCAAGGAAGGGGAUAGCCCCGGGAAACUGGGAUUAAUACCCUAUAGUAUUGCGAACCGGCAUCGGUUUGUAAUUAAAGCUCCGGCGCCUUGAGAUGGGUGUGCGUCCCAUUAGAUAGUUGGUGAGGUAACGGCUCACCAAGUCCACGAUGGGUAGGGGGCGUGAGAGCGUGAUCCCCCACACGGGCACUGAGACACGGGCCCGACUCCUACGGGAGGCAGCAGUAAGGAAUAUUGGUCAAUGGAGGCAACUCUGAACCAGCCAUGCCGCGUGCAGGACUAAUGCCCUAUGGGUUGUAAACUGCUUUUAUAAGGGAAGAAACCUGGUGAUUUAUCAUCAGCUGACGGUACCUUAGGAAUAAGCACCGGCUAACUCCG